CCUACGGGGGGCAGCAGUGGGGAAUAUUGGGCAAUGGGCGAGAGGCUGAACCAGCCAAGUCGCGUGAGGGAAGACGGCCCUACGGGUUGUAAACCUCUUUUGCCGGGGAGCAAAGCGAGUCACGUGUGACUCAUUGAGAGUACCCGAAGAAAAAGCAUCGGCUAACUCCGUGCCAGCAGCCGCGGUAAUACGGAGGAUGCGAGCGUUAUCCGGAUUUAUUGGGUUUAAAGGGUGCGCAGGCGGAGGUGCAAGUCCGCGGUCAAAUUGCGGGGCUCAACCCCGUACUGCCGUUGAAACUGCAGCCCUUGAGUGCGCGAGAGGUAUGCGGAAUGCGUGGUGUAGCGGUGAAAUGCAUAGAUAUCACGCAGAACUCCGAUUGCGAAGGCAGCAUACCGGCGCGCAACUGACGCUCAUGCACGAAAGCGUGGGGAUCGAACAGGAUUAGAUACCCCAGUAGUC
Molecule: ribosomal RNA, 459 nt
Filed under: uncultured bacterium
Lineage: Bacteria
Description: partial 16S ribosomal RNA
Rfam family: Bacterial small subunit ribosomal RNA
Source: RNAcentral